Long non-coding RNA from Coregonus clupeaformis (lake whitefish), 1591 nucleotides. RefSeq lists it as uncharacterized. The record is from RefSeq and is a predicted model, not a curated record. Lineage: Eukaryota; Metazoa; Chordata; Actinopteri; Salmoniformes; Salmonidae. The transcript is spliced from 3 exons.
GACCAAAUCUGCCAUUAAAAAAAAGGAAUAAAAACGAAUGAAUGAAUGCACACAUAAAUAAAUGCAUAAACAGAUAAAUCCGCACAAAUAGAUAACAUUUAAAUAAUUAAUCCCACUUUCAUUUUAUUCAUUUCUAUAAUUUUUUCAUUGUUGUAUUUCUUCCUCCAAUUUGAUGAGGGGGUGUCAAGCAAAUUUAUGUGGGUAGUAUCUAACACACAAUUGGGUGAUCAAUGCCACAACGCUUUGCGUGACUGCAUUUGCCUGGGCUGCAUUCAGUAUGACAGAACGGUGUUCAUCAAAGGCCAUGUUUCACAUUAGCACACCACAAAUAAUAAUUUGUAACGCAUAUAGCAAUAUAUGUCACCUUUUGUUGUGAUUUUUUUUGGUAAAAAAAUAUUUAUCACACCAUAAAAACAAUAAAAUAACAAAUGAAUAUUGUCCUUGCUUGACGUAGAAACAUGUGAACAGUUUUGACACACUGAGUCAGGUGGCUGUGUUAUGAGUGGAUUGCUUUUGAGAAUAAGGCACCGGACUACAGACAUAUAGUUUUUAACCUAGAAAACCGGAGUAGGCAAGGUGUCGUCGACCGGGAUUUGCCAGAAAAUGAGUGUCAAGCUAGUUAGCUACAACUGAUAAAGUUGAGUUUUACACUUAGCUAGAUAAUGAACUAUACUGCAAUUAUCAUAAAACAUUAUAUAGCUAGCUACGGUAGCUAAAUAUCAGAUGUAAAGGAAGCAGGACCGUGGCAUGUGUCAGAAGCAAUGCAUGUUGGCUAGCUCAUAUUAGCUAGAUCACUUAUUAAGCAAUAGAGUGAAUACUUAAUAGGGUUGUCAUUUAGCUAGCUACAGUAGCCACCUAGGCUAAUUCUCAACAUCAUCCAUCUUUGAAGCAGUUCAGUUGCAAAAUUAGGUCUCAACAAUCACAUGCAUCUAAGCUAGCAGCUAGAGGAGGAGGAUGCCAUGAUGGAAUAAGUCACCUAUGUGAAGCUAGCCAUAAUUGUGGAAUUUGCUUUUCGCCUUAGCAAUUGUUAGUGAGAUGAGACGUGGUGCCAUAAUAUAAAUAGCUUAGUUAGCUAUAAAUUAAUGUAUGCUAUGUAAUUUGUCGUAGCCGAUAUAACAAAAUGGCAUGCAUAUUUUUAAAUAGUCUAAUUUACAGACAUGAAUGAUGUAGGCAAACUGAUACAUAAAUCCUAUAUACAGGUGCUAUUUUCUUUUGUUAAUCACUGCAGGGUUGUCAUCUGAUCUCUUGGAGCCUGGUGGAGAUAGAUAUGCAACCAUACUACAAGGCAGGACAUUUCCCUGAAUCCAGGUUGAGGCUUGCUACCAGCAGAAACAUGGCGCACUCCGUGUCAGUGCUAUAGAGACAGAAUGGUCCUCCAGAGCCUUCUGAACAACUACCUGCGAUCUCUCCAGAGCAGAGAAGUGAGUCUGCUGGGCUAUGGAACUUUAGAGCAGCACAUCAAAAAAAUCUGCCACCCUCUUGUCAGCUAUCUGCAGACAGUUCCCUGUGGAAGGAUGCAACUAUCAAGGCUUUCAAAGGCCACAUUUUGGGAGAUGACCAAAUGCAAUAAAGUUUUGUAUAAACAAAUUGA